GGGGAUGUGGCUCAGUGGUAGAGCGUCCGCUUUGCAUCGUGUAACGUGCGGAAGGCCCAGGUUUCGAUCACCUGCUUCUCCA
Molecule: non-coding RNA, 82 nt
Organism: Venturia effusa
Lineage: Eukaryota; Fungi; Ascomycota; Dothideomycetes; Venturiales; Venturiaceae
Source: the annotation of a GenBank genome assembly